Molecule: ribosomal RNA, 321 nt
Filed under: uncultured eukaryote
Lineage: Eukaryota
Description: partial 18S ribosomal RNA
Rfam family: Eukaryotic small subunit ribosomal RNA
Source: RNAcentral
CCCUUAGAUGUUCUGGGCCGCACGCGUGCUACACUGAGUGGAUCAGCGGGUCAGGUUGCGCGAAAGCGUUUCCUAAUCUUUAAAUCCGCUCGUGAUGGGGAUUGACGGUUGCAAUUUUCUGUCAUGAACGAGGAAUACCUUGUAAGCGCGGGUCAUCAUCCCGCGCUGAAUACGUCCCUGCCCUUUGUACACACCGCCCGUCGCUCCUACCGAUUGAGUGGUCCGGUGAAUGUUUUGGAUCGGCUUCAAGUUGGUUCGCGCCUCUUGCUUGCUGUGAAAUCAUGUAAACCUUAUUGCUUAGAGGAAGGAGAAGUCGUAACA